Mauremys reevesii (Reeves's turtle) is the source of this 598-nucleotide long non-coding RNA. RefSeq lists it as uncharacterized. The transcript is spliced from 3 exons. NCBI's taxonomy places the organism in Eukaryota, Metazoa, Chordata, Testudines, Geoemydidae. The record is from RefSeq and is a predicted model, not a curated record.
UACUGAUCUUUCUCUGAAGACUAGCCCAGAGGCUGCCUCAAGACAGCAGAUGGCUUUGAGCUGGCAAGAUGAGCUAGGUGGUAAGCUGAGUUGAGACAGUGGACAAAACUGAACUGAGGUGACAGAUAGCAUGAAGGCAGCACUUGGGAAGAUGACAGUACUGAGGAAGCUUGAGCUGAAGCUGCAGAGAGCCAUAACCAAUUUGAGGCACUCUGAUGUUGGCCUCCCUACCCAGCAAAUAAAGCUGAAAUUACUUCAGCAGGGUCAGGUGGUAAAGCCCCCAGAGCAACCCAGAGACGACUUCCCUUAGGGGCUGGAGGCUGACCUGCCAGAAUUCUAGGACUCCUUCAUCUCUGGACAACAGACUAAUCAUCAAUUAUGCUGUGAUAUGGACCUUGUCUUUUCCUCGCAACCUGUAGUGUUAAAUAUAGAACUCAGGUGGGAAGAGUGUUUCCCCCCUACGCAUCCAGAAGAACUGUCAGAAUCAGAUGGGCCAGUAAGCAACAUCCAGAGGCUACCUCUCGGUCCACCCUGCAAGACAUUUUGAAUGGACAAGUCACUACAACUCUGUCACUCUUAGGAUUUAGAUUGCAACUCA